ACGACUCUCGGCAACGGAUAUCUCGGCUCUCGCAUCGAUGAAGAACGUAGCGAAAUGCGAUACUUGGUGUGAAUUGCAGAAUCCCGUGAACCAUCGAGUCUUUGAACGCAAGUUGCGCCCGAAGCCUUCUGGCCGAGGGCACGCCUGCCUGGGCGUCACGCAA
RNAcentral lists this ribosomal RNA (163 nucleotides) under Coriaria myrtifolia. RNAcentral's name for it is "5.8S ribosomal RNA". It matches the Rfam family "5.8S ribosomal RNA". From Rfam's summary of the family: 5.8S ribosomal RNA (5.8S rRNA) is a component of the large subunit of the eukaryotic ribosome. It is transcribed by RNA polymerase I as part of the 45S precursor that also contains 18S and 28S rRNA. Lineage: Eukaryota; Viridiplantae; Streptophyta; Magnoliopsida; Cucurbitales; Coriariaceae. The record is from RNAcentral.